AUGAACGCUGGCGGCGUGCCUAAUACAUGCAAGUCGAGCGAACGGACGAGAAGCUUGCUUCUCUGAUGUUAGCGGCGGACGGGUGAGUAACACGUGGAUAACCUACCUAUAAGACUGGGAUAACUUCGGGAAACCGUAGCUAAUACCGGAUAAUAUUUUGAACCGCAUGGUUCAAAAGUGAAAGACGGUCUUGCUGUCACUUAUAGAUGGAUCCGCGCUGCAUUAGCUAGUUGGUAAGGUAACGGCUUACCAAGGCAACGAUGCAUAGCCGACCUGAGAGGGUGAUCGGCCACACUGGAACUGAGACACGGUCCAGACUCCUACGGGAGGCAGCAGUAGGGAAUCUUCCGCAAUGGGCGAAAGCCUGACGGAGCGACGCCGCGUGAGUGAUGAAGGUCUUCGGAUCGUAAAACUCUGUUAUUAGGGAAGAACAUAUGUGUAAGUAACUGUGCACAUCUUGACGGUACCUAAUCAGAAAGCCACGGCUAACUACGUG
RNAcentral lists this ribosomal RNA (496 nucleotides) under uncultured bacterium. RNAcentral describes it as "partial 16S ribosomal RNA". It matches the Rfam family "Bacterial small subunit ribosomal RNA", at positions 29 to 507 of the family's 1533-position model. The record is from RNAcentral.